RNAcentral lists this ribosomal RNA (465 nucleotides) under uncultured bacterium. Its description in RNAcentral is "partial 16S ribosomal RNA". It matches the Rfam family "Bacterial small subunit ribosomal RNA", at positions 28 to 507 of the family's 1533-position model. The record is from RNAcentral.
GACGAACGCUGGCGGCGUGCUUAACACAUGCAAGUCGAACGGAAAGGCCCCAGCUUUCUGGGGUACUCGAGUGGCGAACGGGUGAGUAACACGUGGGUGAUCUGCCCUGCACUCUGGGAUAAGCCUUGGAAACUGGGUCUAAUACCGGAUAGGACCGUGCUUUAGUGUGUGCGGUGGAAAGGUUUUCGGUGCAGGAUGAGCCCGCGGCCUAUCAGCUUGUUGGUGGGGUAGUGGCCUACCAAGGCGGCGACGGGUAGCCGGCCUGAGAGGGUGUACGGCCACAUUGGGACUGAGACACGGCCCAGACUCCUACGGGAGGCAGCAGUGGGGAAUAUUGCACAAUGGGCGCAAGCCUGAUGCAGCGACGCCGCGUGGGGGAUGACGGCCUUCGGGUUGUAAACCCCUUUCGGCAGGGACGAAGCUUUUGUGACGGUACCUGCAGAAGAAGCACCGGCUAACUACGUG